This 467-nucleotide ribosomal RNA is filed under the name uncultured bacterium. RNAcentral's name for it is "SSU rRNA". It matches the Rfam family "Bacterial small subunit ribosomal RNA", at positions 26 to 518 of the family's 1533-position model. The record is from RNAcentral.
AGGACUAACGCUGGCGGCGUGCCUAACACAUGCAAGUCGAACGAGGGUAGCAAUACCCUAGUGGCAGACGGGUGAGUAACACGUAGUCAACCUACCUCUUAAUGGGGGAUAACUAGCCGAAAGGUUAGCUAAUACCGCAUACGAUCGUCGAGUGGCAUCACACGACGAUGAAAGGAGCAAUCCGUUGAGAGAGGGGACUGCGUCCCAUUAGUUAGUUGGUGGGGUAACGGCCUACCAAGACUCCGAUGGGUAGCUGGCUUGAGAGAGCGACCAGCCACACUGGAACUGAGACACGGUCCAGACUCCUACGGGAGGCAGCAGUGAGGAAUUUUCCGCAAUGGGGGAAACCCUGACGGAGCGACGCCGCGUGUGGGAAGAAGGCCUUCGGGUCGUAAACCACUGUCGAGGGGGACGAUAUUGACGGUACCCCUGGAGGAAGCCCCGGCUAACUACGCGCCAGCAGCCGC